This 373-nucleotide ribosomal RNA is filed under the name uncultured bacterium. RNAcentral's name for it is "bacterial SSU rRNA". It matches the Rfam family "Bacterial small subunit ribosomal RNA", at positions 30 to 403 of the family's 1533-position model. The record is from RNAcentral.
AUUGAACGCUGGCGGCAUGCCUUACACAUGCAAGUCGAACGGCAGCACGGGAGCAAUCCUGGUGGCGAGUGGCGAACGGGUGAGUAAUGUAUCGGAACGUAUCCUGUAAUGGGGGAUAACCAGUCGAAAGAUUGGGUAAUACCGCAUACGCACGAGAGUGGAAAGUAGGGGAUCGCAAGACCUUACGUUAUAGGAGCGGCCGAUAUCUGAUUAGCUAGUUGGUGGGGUAAAGGCCUACCAAGGCGACGAUCGGUAGCUGGUCUGGGAGGAUGAUCAGCCACACUGGGACUGAGACACGGCCCAGACUCCUACGGGAGGCAGCAGUGGGGAAUUUUGGACAAUGGGCGAAAGCCUGAUCCAGCCAUGCCGCGUG